GAUAAUAGCCAAUCUUAAAAGUCUAAUUUUUAAGAUCAGUUAUUACAAUGAUCGAUCUUAAAAGUUGAACUUUUAAGAUCGAUUAUUAGC
This 90-nucleotide microRNA precursor is filed under the name Cajanus cajan (pigeon pea). RNAcentral's name for it is "miRNA gene-KK1_038733". The record is from RNAcentral. Lineage: Eukaryota; Viridiplantae; Streptophyta; Magnoliopsida; Fabales; Fabaceae.